Molecule: non-coding RNA, 30 nt
Filed under: Homo sapiens (human)
Lineage: Eukaryota; Metazoa; Chordata; Mammalia; Primates; Hominidae
Source: RNAcentral
GAGCCGGUGAGCUACCAUGUCCAGGAGAGC